GUAGGUGGCAAGCGUUGUCCGGAAUUAUUGGGCGUAAAGCGCGCGCAGGCGGUUCGUUUAAGUCUGAUGUGAAAGCCCACGGGCUCAACCGUGGAGGGUCAUUGGAAACUGGAGAACUUGAGUACAGAAGAGGAAAGCGGAAUUCCACGUGUAGCGGUGAAAUGCGUAGAGAUGUGGAGGAACACCAGUGGCGAAGGCGGCUUUCUGGUCUGUAACUGACGCUGAGGCGCGAAAGCGUGGGGAGCAAACAGGAUUAGAUACCCUGGUAGUCCACGCCGUAAACGAUGAGUGCUAAGUGUUAGGGGGUUUCCGCCCCUUAGUGCUACAGCUAACGCAUUAAGCACUCCGCCUGGGGAGUACGGCCGCAAAGGCUG
RNAcentral lists this ribosomal RNA (374 nucleotides) under uncultured organism. RNAcentral describes it as "partial 16S ribosomal RNA". It matches the Rfam family "Bacterial small subunit ribosomal RNA", at positions 527 to 896 of the family's 1533-position model. The record is from RNAcentral.